This 484-nucleotide ribosomal RNA is filed under the name uncultured bacterium. RNAcentral describes it as "partial 16S ribosomal RNA". It matches the Rfam family "Bacterial small subunit ribosomal RNA", at positions 30 to 507 of the family's 1533-position model. The record is from RNAcentral.
AUUGAACGCUAGCGGGAUGCUUUACACAUGCAAGUCGAACGGCAGCGCGGACUUCGGUCUGGCGGCGAGUGGCGAACGGGUGAGUAAUGUAUCGGAACGUGCCCAGUAGCGGGGGAUAACUACGCGAAAGCGUAGCUAAUACCGCAUACGCCCUACGGGGGAAAGCAGGGGACCGUAAGACCUUGCACUAUUGGAGCGGCCGAUAUCGGAUUAGCUAGUUGGUGAGGUAACGGCUCACCAAGGCGACGAUCCGUAGCUGGUUUGAGAGGAAGACCAGCCACACUGGGACUGAGACACGGCCCAGACUCCUACGGGAGGCAGCAGUGGGGAAUUUUGGACAAAGGGGGCAACCCUGAUCCAGCCAUCCCGCGUGUGCGAUGAAGGCCUUCGGGUUGUAAAGCACUUUUGGCAGGAAAGAAACGUCGCGGGCUAAUACCCCGUGGAACUGACGGUACCUGCAGAAUAAGCACCGGCUAACUACGUG